UUGGUCCCCUCGCAACGAUAAGCCGCAAACCCCGCCAGGCCCGGAAGGGAGCAACGGUAGUGGUGGAUUCGUGUGCCGGGGUGUGGCUGG
RNAcentral lists this signal recognition particle RNA (90 nucleotides) under uncultured Venatoribacter sp. RNAcentral describes it as "Bacterial small signal recognition particle RNA". It matches the Rfam family "Bacterial small signal recognition particle RNA". From Rfam's summary of the family: The signal recognition particle (SRP) is a universally conserved ribonucleoprotein involved in the co-translational targeting of proteins to membranes. Archaeal SRP consists of a 7S RNA and homologues of the eukaryotic SRP19 and SRP54 proteins. The record is from RNAcentral. Lineage: Bacteria; Pseudomonadati; Pseudomonadota; Gammaproteobacteria; Oceanospirillales; Oceanospirillaceae.